This 502-nucleotide ribosomal RNA is filed under the name uncultured bacterium. RNAcentral describes it as "partial 16S ribosomal RNA". It matches the Rfam family "Bacterial small subunit ribosomal RNA", at positions 30 to 523 of the family's 1533-position model. The record is from RNAcentral.
AUUGAACGCUGGCGGAAUGCUUUACACAUGCAAGUCGAACGGCAGCACGGGUGCUUGCACCUGGUGGCGAGUGGCGAACGGGUGAGUAAUACAUCGGAACGUGCCCAGUAAUGGGGGAUAACACAGCGAAAGCUGUGCUAAUACCGCAUACGCCCUGAGGGGGAAAGCGGGGGAUCGAAAGACCUCGCGUUAUUGGAGCGGCCGAUGCCUGAUUAGCUAGUUGGUAGGGUAAAGGCCUACCAAGGCGACGAUCAGUAGCUGGUCUGAGAGGAUGAUCAGCCACACUGGAACUGAGACACGGUCCAGACUCCUACGGGAGGCAGCAGUGGGGAAUUUUGGACAAUGGGGGAAACCCUGAUCCAGCCAUUCCGCGUGAGUGAAGAAGGCCUUCGGGUUGUAAAGCUCUUUCGGCAGGGAAGAAACGCUCUGGGUUAAUAACCUGGGGUAAUGACGGUACCUGAAGAAGAAGCACCGGCUAACUACGUGCCAGCAGCCGCGGUAA